AUUGAACGCUGGCGGCAGGCCUAACACAUGCAAGUCGAACGGUAACAGGAAGAAGCUUGCUUCUUUGCUGACGAGUGGCGGACGGGUGAGUAAUGUCUGGGAAACUGCAUGAUGGAGGGGGAUAACUACUGGAAACGGUAGCUAAUACCGCAUAACGUCGCAAGACCAAAAAGGGGGACCUUAGGGCCUCUUGCCAUCGGAUGUGCCCAGAUGGGAUUAGCUAGUAGGUGGGGUAACGGCUCACCUAGGCGACGAUCCCUAGCUGGUCUGAGAGGAUGACCCGCCACACUGGAACUGAGACAAGGUGCAGACUCCUACGGGAGGCAGCAGUGGGGAAUAUUGCACAAUGGGCGCAAGCCUGAUGCAGCAAUGCCGAGUGGAUGAAGAAGGCCUUCGGGUUGUAAAGUACUUUCAGCGUAGAGGAAGGGAGUAAAUUUAAUACCUUUGCUCAUUGACGUUACCCGCAGAAGAAGCACCGGCUAACUCCGUG
This 490-nucleotide ribosomal RNA is filed under the name uncultured bacterium. RNAcentral describes it as "partial 16S ribosomal RNA". It matches the Rfam family "Bacterial small subunit ribosomal RNA", at positions 30 to 507 of the family's 1533-position model. The record is from RNAcentral.